GACGAACGCUGGCGGCGUGCUUAACACAUGCAAGUCGAACGGAAAGGCCCAGCUUUUGUGGGGUGCUCGAGUGGCGAACGGGUGAGUAACACGUGAGUAACCUCCCCUUGACUUUGGGAUAACUUCAGGAAACUAGGGCUAAUACCGGAUAGGAGCUCUUGCUGCAUGGUGGGGGUUGGAAAAUUUCGGCGGUUGGGGCUCGAAUAGCGGCUUACCGGCUUGUUGGGGGGGUAGUGGCUUACAAAGGCUUUGACGGGUAGCCGACCUUGGCGGGUGACCGGCCACAAUGGGCCUGAGAGAGGGCGCAGACGCCUACGUGAGGCAGCGGUGGAGAGUAUUGCGCAAUAGGCGGAAGCCUGAUGCAGCAGCGCCGCGUGCGUGAUGACGGCCUUUGGGGUGUAAACCGCUUUCGCCUGUGACGAAGCGUGAGUGACGGUAAUGGGUAAAGAAGCACCGGCUAACUACGUG
This 468-nucleotide ribosomal RNA is filed under the name uncultured bacterium. RNAcentral describes it as "partial 16S ribosomal RNA". It matches the Rfam family "Bacterial small subunit ribosomal RNA", at positions 28 to 507 of the family's 1533-position model. The record is from RNAcentral.